This 374-nucleotide ribosomal RNA is filed under the name uncultured bacterium. Its description in RNAcentral is "bacterial SSU rRNA". It matches the Rfam family "Bacterial small subunit ribosomal RNA", at positions 524 to 898 of the family's 1533-position model. The record is from RNAcentral.
GACGUAGGGGGCCAGCGUUGUUCGGAAUUACUGGGUGUAAAGGGUUCGUAGGCGGUGCGGCAAGUUGGGAGUGAAAUCUCUGGGCUUAACCCAGAGGCUGCUUCCGAAACUGCUGUGCUUGAGUGUGGGAGAGGCGCGUGGAAUUGCAGGUGUAGCGGUGAAAUGCGUAGAUAUCUGCAGGAACACCCGUGGCGAAAGCGGCGCGCUGGACCACUACUGACGCUGAGGAACGAAAGCUAGGGGAGCAAACAGGAUUAGAUACCCUGGUAGUCCUAGCCCUAAACGAUCAGGACUUGGGGUGCCACCCGUUCGGGUGUCGUCCCGGAGCUAACGCGUUAAGUCCUGCACCUGGGGAGUACGGUCGCAAGACUGAA